GAUUGUGGCUCAGUGGUAGAGCGCUCGCCUAGCGCAUAGGAGGCCCUGGGUUCCAUUCUCAGCACCA
This 67-nucleotide transfer RNA is filed under the name Marmota monax (woodchuck). RNAcentral's name for it is "tRNA.Ala". Lineage: Eukaryota; Metazoa; Chordata; Mammalia; Rodentia; Sciuridae. The record is from RNAcentral.